AUUGAACGCUGGCGGAAUGCUUUACACAUGCAAGUCGAACGGUAGAGGGGGCAACCCCUCGAGAGUGGCGAACGGGUGAGUAAUGCAUCGGAACGUACCCAUUAGUGGGGGAUAACUCUCCGCAAGGAGGGCUAAUACCGCAAAUUCUGUGAGCAGGAAGGCAGGGGAUCGCAAGACCUUGCGCUGCUGGAGCGGCCGAUGUCAGAUUAGCUAGCUGGGGAGGUAAAGGCUCACCAAGGCGACGAUCUGUAGCGGGUCUGAGAGGGUGAGCCGCCACACUGGAACUGAGACACGGUCCAGACUCCUACGGGAGGCAGCAGUGGGGAAUUUUGGACAAUGGGGGCAACCCUGAUCCACCCAUGCGCGGGAGUGAAGAAGGCCUUCGGGUGGUAAAGCUCUUUCGGCCGGGAAGAAAUCGCAUGGGUUAAUACCCUGUGUGGAUGACGGUACCGGAAUAAGAAGCACCGGCUAACUACGUGCCAGCCGCCGCCGUAA
This 495-nucleotide ribosomal RNA is filed under the name uncultured bacterium. RNAcentral describes it as "partial 16S ribosomal RNA". It matches the Rfam family "Bacterial small subunit ribosomal RNA", at positions 29 to 523 of the family's 1533-position model. The record is from RNAcentral.